CCAGACUUGCCCUCCAAUAGAUCCUCGUUAAAGGAUUUAAAGUGUACUCAUUCCGAUUACGGGGCCUCGAAAGAGUCCCGUAUCGUUAUUUUUCGUCACUACCUCCCCGUGCCGGGAGUGGGUAAUUUGCGCG
RNAcentral lists this ribosomal RNA (133 nucleotides) under uncultured bacterium. RNAcentral describes it as "partial 16S ribosomal RNA". The record is from RNAcentral.